Molecule: RNA transcript, 6040 nt
Organism: Hylaeus anthracinus
Lineage: Eukaryota; Metazoa; Arthropoda; Insecta; Hymenoptera; Colletidae
Exons: 4
Source: RefSeq, a predicted model, not a curated record
CCGAUGUCUGACAAAAUGGUAGUACGUUACACAACGUUACAAUCUCGUUAGCCAUAUUAAAAAGCAUUUUCAAAUGAAAAUCCAGUACCGACGGUUCUGAACAGUGCUGUUAGCUAAUUUCCAAACACGCUCUUAGUUAGUUAGUUAGUUGAGUAUCUGUUGUGAUCGACUUCCGUCUAUUAUUUUGUUCCUGUAAUUUAUUUCCAUAUUAUAUUAUACUUUGGUAUGAUUUUGCUACGUGAAAUAUUUUUUCCUCUACAUUCGGUUUGGUUUCUAUUGUGCUCCACGUGGCUCCAGGUUGCCGACAGAAGGCCAAAGUCGACAUGAAUUGGCGUAUCAUCUUGUUCGAGUGAGUUCUCCCAGCGAGUCCUGACAGAGCUGUCUACUUUCAGCAACAACAAAUGGACAAGCAAACACACUAGAUGAUUUUCAACCGGUUCUAACUUGGUGAUUGCACUCUGAGCUUCCAAGAACGAGUCGACUAGAGCAUGCAGAGAUGGAGCUGACUUGAUAGUUGGAGGUGGAGCGUUGAUGAUCAUAUCCAGGUAGGAUUUCAAUAUCAACCUCUUGCUUUUAUACUGAUUUUUGACUGCUUUCCAAGCUGGUUCCAACAAACUGUUCAUGAUUGGUAAAGAUUUUACCACUGAGAUGGCCGAGCCCUUCAAGCAUCCUUUGAGGUAUUGGAGUUUGUCAACAUUAGCAAACUAAGUGUUGUUUAGCACUAUAUUUUGCAAAGAUUCGCUAAAAGCGGAUCACUUAUAAUCUCUGUCAAAAUCUGGGAGUGGUAUGUCAGAUAUGUCGAUUUUUAAACCUCUCUUAAGCUGGCAGGACCAAAUCAGCAGAAUCGUAUCGGACUUAGUGGAGUAUUUAGUACUUAUUAGGUUGUCCCAAAAGUUUCUUUUGUAAUUUCCACUCAAUUAUUUUGUGCGGUAGUGUUUAUAUAAAUAGACACUCUAAUUUCUUAGAUGUUGAUGUUGUAACAGUAAUGGAGCAAAAUGAAUCAAUUCAAUUCAAUUCAAUAAUGUAACAUUAGACAUAAAAUAUUGUGUAUGUAUUACUUAUUAAUAAAACGAAAGAAACUUUUAGGACAACCUAAUAUUUUGUACUAAUUUACACCACCAAAAGAAAUUUUGUACCUGUUACCGUUUUCAAGAAAAUCGUGACGCUGCUAGCUUAAUAUUAAGCUAGUGGCUGAAAAUAUUAAAAAUUAAUAUAAAUGAUAAAAUCAAAGCGGAUACAUUUAGUACUGAAUUUCUACUAAUUUGUACCACCAAAAGAAAUGUUGUACCUGUUACCGUUUUCAAGAAAAUCGUGUCGCUGCUAGUUUAACGUUAAGCUAGUGGCUGAAAAUGUUAAAAAUUAACCACCUCUUUCAAUGUGUUACAACAUUUUUGGGACACACUGUAUAGAGCUGUUGAGUAUUCACAUGAAUUAACUAGAAAUUAUUUCAUAUUUUUCAUUGCAUUUUCCAAGACCUUUAAGCAAUUAUACUUGCAUGCAACCGAUCACCAGUUCCGAUUUGGACCUUUAUGUCCCAAGGCAUGGUUGAUGAUCAGAGGAACAAAAAUCAUCAUGCAACUCCCCAGCCGCCAAAUAUUCUUCAUCGUCUGAACGUUGAAUCUGCUAAUAAUGCUAUCAGAGUAUAUACGCCUAAAGAAUCUGCAAAAAUUAACAUAAAAUUUAAGAAUCUAUUUUUAUCAUUUGGUCGUUGCAAUUUCAAUAAAAAGCCGAAUUAAGUCUAGGUACUUACAUUUUUGGCUCGUAGAGCACCGCUCAAUGAAACGAUGAUUCGCCGUCACUGACUCUAUUAUCGGUAACGAAGUAUUUUAUAUAGUACAUGAUAAUUAAAAAAAACAAAAAAGUAAAAAUAAAAAAAUCUGUGAACGCGCGCGAAAAUUGUACUCGGCGAACAAAACUGACUCUAGUUUCGCGAUUGAAAAAGUAGUAAGAAUCAUCGUGUUCUGAAAUGAAUUUUCAAUGCGCAAAAAACACUCUGUUAUAAAAUAGAGUAAAAUAUUAUAUAAAAUAUAUAAAAAGACUCUAUUCUUUCGCUCUCUAAGAAUUUUAAAAUCUGUUUCUUCCCCAUUCUUUAGAAUCGUUUAUAACCGUUGGUACCGCGUUUCGUUUCGUUUCGUUUGUAUCUCAAUAGUUUAAAUUGUACAAUUCAAAUGUAUCAACAAUUGUUUGAUAUAGUGAUAUGACCUUGUAAUAUCUAACUCCACAUGUUUAACUGAAACAUAAAAUUAAUAUCUAUUGAAUAUCAUAAAGUUUUAUAAUGGCGCAACGAGCCAAUAAAAGGAAAUAAUUAAGAUAAAAAUUUGCAAUUAUUAGGGGUUGUUUCUAUUAAUACCAGUAAAAAUUCUGUCAAAUUCCAAACGGUUUCAUCAAUUUUCAUUGGAGUUAAAGAAAAAAGAAGUAACCGAUUGAAAAAAAUUCAUGUAUGUAUUUUUCAUUUAAAACUUUCGAAGAUUUGGGGCACGUAUUAAAGUUAACAUCGAUAGCUUGUUGUAUGUCUAAAAAAAUAGGGGAAAAAACAGAUUUCGAAAAUUUCAAUGUCGAGUGCUGACCAUUUUCUGAAUUUAUUUUUAAUUUAUUUUUAAUUAUCAAUCGAUGAUGGUACAAACGAAACUAUUAUUACUACAAUCAAGUACAAACAAAAUGCAAUCAUUUUCUAUAAAAAAAAAAAAAGAUUAAUUUUUUGAUAAAGUCGGGUGCCAGGUUCACAUAGCUUGUUUAUGCUGACACUUGAAUUUGAAUUACCACAACAGAUACACUGGUUCAUCGGCUACGCUACCGCGCAGAGUGCUUGCGACUAUGGACCGGGUCUUCCUGUAUCGAGACGGAUACCCCAUUUCGCUCGGUUUCAUCAACCCUACUCCAACCAAAAAUAUUCAGGCCGAAGCAAAAUUUCAUAUACAUUUUAUGAAAAACAAUCGAGUGUUUUUCAAAGAACGCUUCGAAAAACAUCUGUUUACCAUAUGUUUAAAGGGGCAAUAAAGAACCUAUUCUAAUCAUAUCAGAAUCAUAUCAAACGCCAUAUUCGUGUCGAUAACACCUGAUUUAUAUGUUUAUUGUUUUUUUAUAAUUUUUAUUAAAACAUUAUUAAUUCGUCCCACUUUGCGUCGUGCAUUUUGCAACCGUGGAUCGUGCUUUCGGCAGCCCUUAUCAUAAAAAUCGUGAUUAGGACUGUCUGUGUAAAAGCACACUGCAUUUACUUGUAUAAGUCUGAAAGUCUCAAGACACCGUGUCGAACGCUAAGUGAUUGCGAAAAAUGGAGUGGACAAGUGAACGCAGUAUAGAGUUAAUCGGGAAGUUUAAAAAACACGAAUGUCUGUGGAACGUUGCUCUGAGAGAGUAUCGAAAUAUCGCAAAGAAAAAGGACGCGUGGGAGGAGAUUAGCGAGCAUUUUUCUACAAAUCCAAAGGAGGUGGAAAAGAAGAUGAAAUCUCUGUUGGCUGCCUACAGAAGAGAGAGGAAAAAGAUAUUGGAUUCAAAAAGAUCUGGGAGCGGAAUCGGUGCCACGUACGAAUCCAAAUGGUUUGCGUAUAAGCAUAUGAAAUUUUUACACGGCAUAAACAAGCCGAGAGCAAUGAGGGCGACAAGUAUCAAGAUGAGGCGUGAGAGUGAAAGCGAGGUUCCUGAAAAUAAUGAGGAUAGCGGAGAAGGAAACUCUUUGAAACAAUUUGAACCACUUGGACAAGGGAAGAAAAGGACAGCAGCGGACAGGACAGACAUUGCAUUCACAACGAUGCAAGAAUUACUGAAUCAAGAAUUGGAGAAAAAGAGAGACGAAUAUUCCAUAUUUGGGGAAUUAAUGGCGCUAGAAAUACGAAAGCUGCCAACCGAGCUUGAGCGAACCGUCGUUAAAUUUAAAAUACAAGAGAUAUUAUUUCAAGCUGCCAUGGGAGCAUUUAAACGAAGUCCAGAAUAUACGCCUGUGUGCUUCGAACGUGGAGAAAGCUCCAGCUCUGGACAACAAAAUAAUUUUUAAAUCUACUUUCUUUUUAUUAUUUUUAUCAUUAUUAUUAUGCGCAUAACAUUACGAAUAUAUACAGGGUGUUAAUCUCUUGGGUACGGAUUUAUUUGAGAAAAUAUUCGCAUGUGGAACGGAUAUAAUUUUUGGUUGCUUGGAGAAGAUUCACUAUCACUGCUCGAUAGACGUCUUGUGCGUCUUCGAAACCUUGAUAUUAUAUUAAAAUUGUCAUCAUUUUCUAUUUCAAUAUCGUCUUCAUCACCUUCGCCUUGUAUUUCAUUGUAAUUGUCAAUUUCAGGAUCACUGAACAAUUCUUCAGAUUUCUCAAAGUCAUUUUCGCUAUCACUAUCAUAAAAUAUAUUCCUUGUUUUUGACAUAAUGGGGCAGUGUAUCGCAAAUAAUGUUCACCAAAAUACUGUAAUUGCCUCUUCUAUUAUGACUGAUACAAGCUACAAUGUUUUAGACACGUAAUCCGCUCCUAGGGAAAACAAGUGAAUGACAUGUCUUAGACGUCAAAUGUACCCAAGGGGUUAAAAAAAAGCAUUCGAUAUUUAUAUGAUGGUGUAUAGGCACACUGUACCGAGUAAAAAAGCUUUAGUAAACAUAGGUCCGAAGGUCAACCGUUUCUGAGAUAUAAACAUUUUUGUUGGCUAGUAUCAUGAUUGACUUACUUGCUUUCCAUCGCAUGCGAUGUUUAUGUCAGUGUUUAUAAAUUGCGUUCUGAAUGUUCCCAUUCAAAUGCCGACAAUUUCGUCAAUUCCAUUUUUUCAAUUUCGUGUACAGAAAUGAGCGGUGGACACGUGGAAAAUCUUCUAUAAAUAUCGAAAACCCAGUAGUAUUUAUAUCUCAGAAACGGUUGACCUUUGGACCUAUGCUUACUAAAGUUUUUUUACUCAGUACAGUGUGCCCUACACCAUAUAAAUAUUGAAUGCUCUUUUUUGAACACCCUGUAUGUAUGAAUGGAUAAAAAUGUGGAUGGACGGAUGGUAUACUGCCGCUCAAAAGUAUGUGGACGCUCCCUUAAUUCUUAUAACUGAAAAAAGUUAUGAUAUCUUUAGUAAAUUUGAUUAUCUUGUAUAUAUUCCAUUUCUGACAGUGUCAGAGAACAUAUUUUAAUGAUAUUGGGGGUUGUCCAGAAAGUUCGUGCCAAUUUUUCAGAAACAUUCGAAGACAUGUUUGAAUUUCGAUAUAUAUUUAUUGAAUUAUAUAUGUACCAUUCUGUUCCACAAUUUUUCCACUUUUUAAGGGAUGUCCACAUGUUAUUUGUUUUCAACCAUUCCGAUAUAUUCAGACCUGUACCGCCUAUUAAAAAUCGGCAUGAACUUUCCAGACAGCCCAAUAAUUUAUUAAAUAUCUCACCGAUAAUGAUAAAAAGUAAUUACAGUGGGUGUAGAAAGUAUUCGUACACCGAUCAAUUUCCAAAAAAAAACUACUAUGUAAAAUUGUAAUUUAUUAACUUAUUUGUUAUAAACAAUGACAUUCUACAUAUUCUCGGAAAUCUCUAAAAUAGAUAGAGUACACAAAAAAAAAUAGCUAUUUAUGUAAGUUACGAAAUUAACAAGAAAAAAACAAUUAAUCGAUAGAAAUAUUGAAGCAAUAAGUAUUCGCACAACUGUUUAAGGUUUAAAACUUGAUUAAAAAAAAAAGAAAUUUACAUUAAUUUAUAAGUAUAUAAUACUUCCUUCGUGGGAUUAAAUUAACUAAAUGUAUUAGUUAUUCGAAGUGGAUUUUCUUUGAUUCCUCUAUUAGAGCCAUUUUUAAAAGUACUUUACUGGAAAUUUGAUGCUUUCUAAAUUCAUACGGAGCAAUAAACUAAUAAUGCUUUUACGUUACAAACUCUACUGUAACUGGUUCGUCAUAAGAAUUCUCAUUCUUCAUUCGCAUGUUUUUGUUAAUUUCACAAAUUAUAUUAACUAGUAAAUGUUGUUUGGACUAUAUUUAUCUUAGAGACUUCCGAGAAUAUGUAAAAUAUCAUUGAUUAUAAGAAAAGGAAGUUAAGAAACUACAAUUUCACACAAAAGUUUUUUGAGAAAUUGAUCGGUGUACGAAUACAUUCUACAUCCACUG